AUGGACUCCGAUUCCACCUAUCCCCUCGUCGGCCUCCUUCCGUCCCGACCCUUUAAAUCCCACGAGCAGCCCUCCCUCCCUCCCACGGCGCCCACACCCGCUAAUCUCCUCCGUGACUCGCCUCGUCUCCUCCGCGAUUCAUCCAUGGCAGCGACGCAUCGGGUCUCCGCCGUGAUCUUCGACCUCGACGGCACCCUCUUGGACACAGAGAGGGCAACAAGGGACGUCUUGAAAGAGUUCUUGGGGACCUACGGGGAGGUCCCAGAUGCGGCCAAGGAGGAGAAGCGGUUGGGGCAGAUGCACAGGGAGUCCACGACCGGGAUCAUCGCAGACUAUGGGUUGCCCAUCACCGUCGAGGAGUAUUCAGAGGCAAUAUACCCGCUGUAUAUCAAAAGGUGGCAAAGGGCAAGCCCACUUCCAGGGGUUAACAGGCUUCUCAAGCACCUCUACAAGAACGGAGUACCCCUGGCACUCGCUUCAAAUUCCAUCAGGAGAAAUAUCGAUCACAAAAUUUUGAAACUAGGAGAACUGAAAGACUGCUUUUCGGUGGUUCUUGGUGGUGAUCAGGUCCCUCAUGGAAAACCUUGCCCUGACAUAUUUCUGGAGGCCGCAAAGAGGCUUGGUGUAAAUCCGUCGUCAUGUUUGGUCAUAGAAGAUUCUCUUGUUGGAGUUCAGGCUGCCAAGGCUUCUGGGGCGAAGGUAGUUGCUGUUCCAUCACUGCAAAGUCAAAGGCAUUGUUACUCAAUUGCUGAUCUCAUCCUCUAUUCACUGCUAGACUUCCAUCCUGAGUUGUGGGGUCUUCCCCCAUUUGAAGAUCGCAUCCAAGGUGCUUUGGCCAUGGAACCAUUACUCUCAAAUGCUCAGAUAGGUGAUGCGGUUCAAAACAAUACUCAUACACUUAUAGCAGGUGAGUGCACCUACGACUCUAUUCCUGAUCAAAUAUCAGGAAUUUUCUUUGGUUGGGCCAAGUCAGAAACUUAUGGAGUCUUUAAAGCGGUGGUCAGCACUGGGUGGGAUCUUUCACCGGGAAAAUUCGAAAGAGUGAUGGAAAAUAUAUCUCAAGCAAUGAGCAUAACUGACGAAGACCAGGCCACUGCAAGAGAUGCACUAGACCUCCCAGCUUUCUGUGAAUAUGCAAAGACAAGGGGUGCAUUGGACCUCCCAGCCUUACCUGAAUAUGCAGAGCCACGAAACGGACUUCUUCUUGCCUGA
This 1212-nucleotide ribosomal RNA is filed under the name Triticum aestivum (bread wheat). RNAcentral describes it as "partial small subunit ribosomal RNA". The record is from RNAcentral. Lineage: Eukaryota; Viridiplantae; Streptophyta; Magnoliopsida; Poales; Poaceae.